UACGAAGGGUGCAAACGUUGCUCGGAAUUAUUGGGCGUAAAGCGCACGUAGGCGGCUUUGCAAGUCCGAUGUGAAAUCCCACGGCUCAACCGUGGAAGUGCAUGGGAAACUGCAGAGCUUGAGUACUUAAGAGGAUCGCGGAAUUCCCGGUGUAGAGGUGAAAUUCGUAGAUAUCGGGAGGAACACCAGUGGCGAAGGCGGCGAUCUGGGAAGAUACUGACGCUGAGGUGCGAAAGCGUGGGGAGCAAACAGG
Molecule: ribosomal RNA, 253 nt
Filed under: uncultured bacterium
Lineage: Bacteria
Description: partial 16S ribosomal RNA
Rfam family: Bacterial small subunit ribosomal RNA
Source: RNAcentral